UGAGGAAUAUUGGUCAAUGGACGGAAGUNUGAACCAGCCAAGUAGCGUGCAGGAUGACGGCCCUAUGGGUUGUAAACUGCUUUUGUAUGGGGAUAAAGUUAGGGACGUGUCCCUAUUUGCAGGUACCAUACGAAUAAGGACCGGCUAAUUCCGUGCCAGCAGCCGCGGUAAUACGGAAGGUCCAGGCGUUAUCCGGAUUUAUUGGGUUUAAAGGGAGCGUAGGCUGGAGAUUAAGUGUGUUGUGAAAUGUAGACGCUCAACGUCUGAAUUGCAGCGCAUACUGGUUUCCUUGAGUACGCACAACGUUGGCGGAAUUCGUCGUGUAGCGGUGAAAUGCUUAGAUAUGACGAAGAACUCCGAUUGCGAAGGCAGCUGACGGGAGCGCAACUGACGCUUAAGCUCGAAGGUGCGGGUAUCAAACAGGAUUAGAUACCCUGGUAGUCCGCACAGUAAACGAUGGAUGCCCGCUGUUGGUACCUGGUAUCAGCGGCUAAGCGAAAGCAUUAAGCAUCCCACCUGGGGAGUACGACCGCAAGGUUG
Molecule: ribosomal RNA, 540 nt
Filed under: uncultured bacterium
Lineage: Bacteria
Description: bacterial SSU rRNA
Rfam family: Bacterial small subunit ribosomal RNA
Source: RNAcentral